CGCCGCCGGACCGGCGCGCGGGUGAGUAACACGUAUGCAACCUGCCCUCCGCAGGGGGAGUAACCCGGAGAAAUCCGGACUAAUACCGCGUGGUACACCAGUGGGGCAUCCCACUGGUGUUAAAAGGAAGUGAUUCCGGCGGAGGAUGGGCAUGCGGCGCAUUAGCUUGUUGGCGGGGUAACGGCCCACCAAGGCGACGAUGCGUAGGGGUUCUGAGAGGAAGGUCCCCCACACUGGUACUGAGACACGGACCAGACUCCUACGGAAGGCAGCAG
RNAcentral lists this ribosomal RNA (275 nucleotides) under uncultured bacterium. Its description in RNAcentral is "partial 16S ribosomal RNA". It matches the Rfam family "Bacterial small subunit ribosomal RNA", at positions 85 to 354 of the family's 1533-position model. The record is from RNAcentral.